UAGCCGUAAACGAUACUCGCUAGGUGUCGGCCACGGUGCGACCGUUGUCGGUGCCGUAGGGAAGCCGUGAAGCGAGCCACCUGGGAAGUACGGCCGCAAGGCUGAAACUUAAAGGAAUUGGCGGGGGAGCACAACAACGGGUGGAGCUUGCGGUUUAAUUGGAUUCAACGCCGGAAAUCUUACCGGGACCGACAGCAACAUGAAGGCCAAGCUGAAGACUUUGCCGGAUUAGCUGAGAGGAGGUGCAUGGCGUAGUCGU
This 259-nucleotide ribosomal RNA is filed under the name uncultured archaeon. Its description in RNAcentral is "partial 16S ribosomal RNA". It matches the Rfam family "Archaeal small subunit ribosomal RNA", at positions 748 to 1004 of the family's 1478-position model. The record is from RNAcentral.